ACUCAAAUGAAUAGACGGGGACCCGCACAAGCGGUGGAGCGUGUGGUUUAAUUCGAAGAUACGCGAAGAACCUUACCAAGGUUUGACAUUCCGAGAAGUCUGCCGAAAGGCGGAUGUGCCGCAAGGAACUCGGUAACAGGUGCUGCAUGGCUGUCGUCAGCUCGUGUCGUGAGAUGUUAGGUUAAGUCCUUCAACGAGCGCAACCCUCGUGGCUAGUUGUAUAUAUCUAGUCAGACUGCCUCGGUAACGGGGAGGAAGGAGAGGAUGACGUCUGGUCCGUAUUGCCCUUACACCUUGGGCGACACACACGCUACAAUGGCCGGUACAACGGGCUUUUGCCAAAUCGUAAGAUGGAGCUAACCCCAUCAAAACCGGUCUCAGUUCGGAUCGGGGGCUGAAACUCGCCCCCGUGAAGUCGGAAUCGCUAGUAAACGCAGGUCAGCCACACUGCGUUGAAUACGUUCCCGGGUCUUGUACACACCGCCCGU
This 488-nucleotide ribosomal RNA is filed under the name uncultured bacterium. RNAcentral describes it as "partial 16S ribosomal RNA". It matches the Rfam family "Bacterial small subunit ribosomal RNA", at positions 899 to 1397 of the family's 1533-position model. The record is from RNAcentral.